UCCCAGGUCCUCCCAACCUCAGGUCUGGCGCUCUCUCCAUGGAGCCAUCCAGCUGCCCCCAUCCAAACCAAUUUCUAUUUCGACCUUGUCAAUUGCCUGGGGCCAUCCAGCCAGUGUAAAAGACUGUCCCAAGAUCAUUCCAAUUCCAUUAAACCAAACUUCUACCCCAGUAGGACCUCUGGGUCGGGCGCUGUGGAAACAAAGGUGGAAAGAUACAAUCCCUUCUCUCCAAAAGCCUUUCAUCCAAUUUGGAGAUGCUACGGGGAAGGAUGUCAAAGUGAGCUCCGGCGUCCCCCGAGGAGAUCGGAGGAGGAAAAGCUCCCUUCCAGCAGGGGAGAAGGAGAUGCCUCCGAGAGGGCAGCAGUAUUUGAGCUGGGUCCUGAAGGAGAUCGCUUCAGGCGGCAGAGACACGGUGCGUUCUUUCUCAUAGAUCCCUCCGGGUUGCUCAGGAUCACUGCAUCGCCAUUAAUGGAGAAGUCCAUUACGUUCGAUUGUACCACAGUGUAUCAGUCUCUGUGUACAAUGUUCUCCUGGUUCUGCUCCUCUCACUCUGCAUCAAUUCCUGGAGGCUGUUCCAGUUCACAUGGAAUUCCUAAUUACAGGUAGAAAUAGUUUUUGGCAAUUUUGAAAUUCAGAUUUUCUCCCUCCCUGAGGCGGUGAAUAAUCUGAUAUAAGUUCUACCAGGAUAAUGAAAGUAGUUUUAACUGGGGCUUGAAGAAACCAGAAGAAUACCAGAGGCAAAGAUGAAAAGGGAGGACAGUCAAGACAUGGGAGAGAGCCAGUGAAAAUGUAGAGAGCAUUUUAUUAGCUGAGAAAUGCAGAGUCUUAUUCCAGGAACAGCAAGGAGGCCCCUGUCACUGGAUCAAAGGAGAAGAGGAAGAUGUAAGAAGACUGGAAAGGUAGGACUGUGCCACUCAGCUAACAAAAGGGCUUUGAAUGCCAAACAAAGGAUUUUAUAUUUAAUCCUGACUAUUAAAUAGCUGCUAAAGUUUACUGAGGGGUGGAGGGCUGAGAGAGGGCUGACACGUUCAGUCCUGUGAGGAAAGACUUGUGGGAGGGAGGCGAAUCAGCUGACUAUUGCCACAGACAAGGUAUAAGGUGAUGAAGCCAUGCUCCAGGGUGGUGACAGUAUCAAAGAGGGCAGUAGCUUUGAGAGAACUUUUAUGAAGGUAAAAUCUAUAGGCCUUGGAAAAAGAUUAGAUAUGGGGUGGGGGUGGGGGG
RNAcentral lists this long non-coding RNA (1221 nucleotides) under Monodelphis domestica (gray short-tailed opossum). RNAcentral describes it as "lncRNA (ENSMODG00000031440.2)". The record is from RNAcentral. Lineage: Eukaryota; Metazoa; Chordata; Mammalia; Didelphimorphia; Didelphidae.